Molecule: long non-coding RNA, 551 nt
Organism: Haliotis rufescens (red abalone)
Lineage: Eukaryota; Metazoa; Mollusca; Gastropoda; Lepetellida; Haliotidae
Exons: 3
Source: RefSeq, a predicted model, not a curated record
UACAAAAACACGAUAAAUAAUGAAGUUAAAUAGAAUAAAGCUAUUUCCUGAUGAUGAUGAUGAUUAUAUUGAAUAUUAUUCAGGAAACAUUAAUAUUCGGGAACUUACACUAAGCCUCUGUAUGCUCAGUGAGUGAGUGAGUUGCCUCUUUAAACAUAAUUUAAAUAAUAUUGUGGCAUAUACGCUUGAUGUGGGAGGAAGGUUUUAGUGAAACCCGCGAGAAUGAGUAUAGUGCUAACACAACAAGAAAUAGAAUAAGGGCUAAUCUUGGAUUCGGACGCACGAUGACAAAUUGUAGGCACGCAUAAGAGUCGCAACUUUGCGCGAACUCGUGUAACUUUCAAAAGUAAUAAAGGAAGUGAUAAUUUAAUGUGUACACUGUGUGAAUCAAUUUUGUAUUUUAUCGAAAAGCUUUGCGACAUAAGGGAAAUUACAUCACACAGCACCAAAGUUCGACGAUCAUAGGCAGCAUGUGGAAGCUACUACAAAAUAUCGCAAAGGAGGAUGAGCAUGGUCUAUAUCUGGGGACAAACGACUUAUUUCGUCCUGAC